UACGGGAGGGCAGCAGUGGGGAAUAUUGCACAAUGGGCGAAAGCCUGAUGCAGCUAUGCCGCGUGUAUGAAGAAGGCCUUAGGGUUGUAAAGUACUUUCAUCGGGGAGGAAAAACAAAACUAAUAAUUUUAUUUCUUGACGUUACCCGAAAAAGAAGCACCGGCUAACUCCGUGCCAGCAGCCGCGGUAAUACGGAGGGUGCUAGCGUUAAUCAGAAUUACUGGGCGUAAAGAGCACGUAGGUGGUUUUUUUAAGUCAGAUGUGAAAUCCCUGGGCUUAACCUAGGAACUGCAUUUUGAAACUGAAAUACUAGAGUAUCGUAGAGGGAGGUAGAAUUCUAGGUGUAGCGGUGAAAUGCGUAGAUAUCUGGAGGAAUACCUGUGGCGAAAGCGGCCUCCUAAACGAAUACUGACACUGAGGGUGCGAAAGCGUGGGGAGCAAACAGGGAUUAGAUACC
Molecule: ribosomal RNA, 457 nt
Filed under: uncultured bacterium
Lineage: Bacteria
Description: bacterial SSU rRNA
Rfam family: Bacterial small subunit ribosomal RNA
Source: RNAcentral